RNAcentral lists this ribosomal RNA (370 nucleotides) under uncultured organism. Its description in RNAcentral is "bacterial SSU rRNA". It matches the Rfam family "Bacterial small subunit ribosomal RNA", at positions 526 to 896 of the family's 1533-position model. The record is from RNAcentral.
CGGAGGGUGCAAGCGUUAUCCGGAUUUACUGGGUUUUAAGGGUGCGUAGGUGGGCAGUUAAGUCAGUGGUGAAAUCUCCGAGCUUAACUCGGAAACUGCCAUUGAUACUAUCUGUCUUGAAUUAUCUGGAGGUGAGCGGAAUAUGUCAUGUAGCGGUGAAAUGCUUAGAUAUGACAUAGAACACCAAUUGCGAAGGCAGCUCACUACGGGUAUAUUGACACUGAGGCACGAAAGCGUGGGGGAUCAAACAGGAUUAGAUACCCUGGUAGUCCACGCCCUAAACGAUGGAUACUCGACAUCAGCGAUACACUGUUGGUGUACUGAGCGAAAGCAUUAAGUAUCCCACCUGGGAAGUACGAUCGCAAGAUUG